RNAcentral lists this ribosomal RNA (406 nucleotides) under uncultured bacterium. RNAcentral describes it as "partial 16S ribosomal RNA". It matches the Rfam family "Bacterial small subunit ribosomal RNA", at positions 29 to 526 of the family's 1533-position model. The record is from RNAcentral.
AUUGAACGCUGGCGGCAGGCCUAACACAUGCAAGUCGAGCGAGCGGCGGACGGGUGAGUAAUGCCUAGGAAUCUGCCUGGUAGUGGGGGAUAACGUCCGGAAACGGGAGCUAAUACCGCAUACCAUCAGAUGUGCCCAGAUGGGAUUAGCUAGUAGGGGGGGGAAUGGCUCACCUAGGCGACGAACCCUAGCUGGUCUGAGAGGAUGACCAGCCACACUGGAACUGAGACACGGCCCAGACUCCUACGGGAGGCAGCAGUGGGGAAUAGUGCACAAUGGGCGCAAGCCUGAUGCAGCCAUGCCGCGUGUAUGAAGAAGGCCUUCGGGUUGUAAAGUACUUUCAGUCGGGAGGCGUUACCGACAGAAGAAGCACCGGCUAACUCCGUGCCAGCCGCCGCGGUAAUAC